Molecule: non-coding RNA, 1578 nt
Organism: Anas platyrhynchos (mallard)
Lineage: Eukaryota; Metazoa; Chordata; Aves; Anseriformes; Anatidae
Source: RefSeq, a predicted model, not a curated record
CUAAUUAAGUCUUCUUAAUUGCUGUUUUACUAAUUGGAGUAGAGUGGUUUUGUCAUGAUUUUAGCUGUUGACGAACAAUUAAGUAGAAUGCAGCAUUAAUUCCUCCUUUAACUACCGAGGAAGGCCAAGCGCAUGCUCAGACUCCAGUGAAAGAAACCAAACCUAAUCAGAGCACCGUGGUUAUUAGCACACGAGGUGGGAAGCCAAGAAACCAGCACCACUCCCCACCAAGCCAGCGGCAGGAGAUCCCCACAGCGCUCCCAGCCCAAGCAGGUCGGAUGCCACAACCUCAAGUCCUUGCACUUGCACCUUGCUCACUGACAGCGACAACCUUUGAAGGCUAUGCCAAGGUAUUUCCCAUUAGCACAGGUCUUUGCAAAAAAGAUCUCUUCCACUGCUGGUACUGGAUUCAGCCCCCUGCUACUCUGCCAGGAACAAACUUCUCAAUAUUUUAAGCACUUACAAGAAGGACCUGCGUAAAGUCUCUGUGAAUCCAGUACUGCUUUUUCACAGCAGGGAGGUAAGCCAAGGUAAAAGCUGAUGGUUCUUGGCUUUUCUAGAGCUGGCCCAUUGGUAAAAGGGCACGUCAGCCUCACUCGCUGCUGUCACAAAUACGGGGAACUUCAGGCUGACCCAUGCCUUAGACCCAUGACAAGGCAGGUGCAGCAUCAGCUUUCAUGGUUCUGGCACUGUAGAAGCCAGGAAUUAUCUGAAGUAAUUGGGAGAGAAAUUGGGCAAACUCAUUCCCCUUUUCAGCAAUAAAUCAUCUUGGGGAAAUUGGUCAAGGCCAUUUGAAAGCCCCAAGUGAUGCUCUCCCAAACACCUUUCCCUUGGGAGGCAGCUUAAGAGCAAGAUUCGAUCUGAACCAGUAGCAUUCACUGCUUUCUUACAGCUUUUAGAUCCCCUCCCCAUCCCUCCAGGAGGCCCCUGGCUGCUCCUGCUUUCAGCCCUGAUGCUCUUUCCAAAUGAGAUCAGUGCAAGCUCCCCGGGUCCCCAGUCUACACGCAAACCGCACCUUGAGGGGAACCAACAGCAGCUUCCAAACUGUGCUCUUUAUUCAGAUACUUACUGAGUUUCUCAAUCUUUUCCAACAGAGGACUAAGAGUUGUCUUCAAGCUACAGAGGAAGCUUGAAAGGCAGCAGAUCGCCCUAAGGAAGAGCAGUCCAAGACUCGGGGGACCAGGAAGGGUUUCAGGAGCCAGCUCUGAACCCCUGUUGCCUGCUACAUCACAAAGCGGCCCUUAGAUGAAUCCCACAAUCUCCCUGUCCCUCUGUUUCCGCCUACCAGAAGUGGAUAACAGCCUGUCUCUAGCAGGGAAGGACGCCUUGAUAAAUGUACUAAUUAUCACCAGACACCCCACCCAGCAAGUAAGCACAGAGGCCAUUUAUUUGCCUAAAAAACUUCCAGUUAUGAAAUCAGUGCUAGAAAAUUGUGCAAAUCAAGACCCUGGAACCUGAUUAAUUAAAUCAAUGGGAAUUACAGAAUUAAUUUAUAAGAAAACUCAAACGUAACAUGAAAUAGUUUGUAUCGAUCAACAGACAAAGUCCUUCCAUGCGCUGAGAGCAAAUCCAUUUUUA